UACGUAGGGACCGAGCGUUGUCCGGAUUUAUUGGGCGUAAAGAGCUCGUAGGCGGCUCAGGAAGUCGGCCGUGAAAUCCCGAGGCUCAACCUCGGAACUGCGGUCGAAACUCCUGUGGCUAGGGUUCGGUAGAGGAGAGCGGAAUUCUCGGUGUAGCGGUGAAAUGCGCAGAUAUCGAGAGGAACACCAGCAGCGAAAGCGGCUCUCUGGGCCGAUACCGACGCUGAGGAGCGAAAGCGUGGGGAGCGAACAGG
Molecule: ribosomal RNA, 254 nt
Filed under: uncultured bacterium
Lineage: Bacteria
Description: partial 16S ribosomal RNA
Rfam family: Bacterial small subunit ribosomal RNA
Source: RNAcentral